CCCUUAGAUGUUCUGGGCCGCACACGCGCUACACUGGAGGAGGCAGCGUGUACUCCUGGAUCGAAAGAUUUGGGUAACCCGCGAAUCUCCUUCGUGCUAGGGAUUGAGGUUUGCAAUUAUCCUUCAUGAACGAGGAAUUCCCAGUAAGUGCAAGUCAUAAGCUUGCGCUGACUACGUCCCUGCCCUUUGUACACACCGCCCGUCGCUACUACCGAUUGAAUGAUUUAGUGAGGACUUCGGACUGGGACCGAUGCGGCUUUCGGGCUGCGUCGGUAUUCUGGAAAGAUGUCCAAACUGUAUCAUUUAGAGGAAGUAAAAGUCGUAACA
Molecule: ribosomal RNA, 327 nt
Filed under: uncultured eukaryote
Lineage: Eukaryota
Description: partial 18S ribosomal RNA
Rfam family: Eukaryotic small subunit ribosomal RNA
Source: RNAcentral